GGGCCUUUAGCUCAGACGGUUAGAGCGUUCCUCUGAUAAGGAGAGGUCCCUGGUUCGAGUCCAGGAAGGCCCA
RNAcentral lists this transfer RNA (73 nucleotides) under Anaerolineae bacterium. It matches the Rfam family "tRNA". Rfam says of the family: Transfer RNA (tRNA) molecules are approximately 80 nucleotides in length. Their secondary structure includes four short double-helical elements and three loops (D, anti-codon, and T loops). Further hydrogen bonds mediate the characteristic L-shaped molecular structure. tRNAs have two regions of fundamental functional importance: the anti-codon, which is responsible for specific mRNA codon recognition, and the 3' end, to which the tRNAs corresponding amino acid is attached (by aminoacyl-tRNA synthetases). tRNAs cope with the degeneracy of the genetic code in two manners: having more than one tRNA (with a specific anti-codon) for a particular amino acid; and 'wobble' base-pairing, i.e. permitting non-standard base-pairing at the 3rd anti-codon position. Lineage: Bacteria; Bacillati; Chloroflexota; Anaerolineae. The record is from Rfam by way of RNAcentral.